CAGAGCAGCACUCUUUAUCAGUGCCACUUACCUGUUCCUGCCUACCUUGUGUUCUAGGACUUUUAUUGGAAAAGCCACAUAGAGGUCAAACUCUGUCUAGCUAUCCGUCUAUAAAGAAAUCCAGACAGCGUAAUGCAGCAUUUUAUGAACAACAAGUGGAUCUUCUGGGAAUGACAGAAUCCUCCCUACGAAUUAGAAGCAUGGAAGGAUUCGUUACACUUUAACAUGUUUCUUCAGUGACAUGUGCGACCUUGACUUUUAAUUAUUCAAGAGUGGCAAGUAUGGAACCUAAAGUGGAUUGUUGACACAAGAUGCCUGGAAAUAAGGAGAAUUAUGAAAGACAUACUGUUGUUUUAAAUUUCAAACCACAGUUACCUGUGUAACUAAAGAACCUGUAAGUCCCUCAAUAGGAAAAAGUGGAAACUGACCCAGAGGAUGCCAGACAGAAGGAUAUAUCCAAUUGCAGUUCUUACCAGCAUACAGGAGGAGGUUCCAUAUGAAUAUAACUUCUUGCCUAAGUUGGUUUAGGUAAGAAGACUCUUCAUGUGCCUGUUUCCUUCAAAUUUUAAGGAGAGCUCUUGCAUGGUGGUAGAACCGAGGACAGCCUAGACCUUCUGAUUGUCAACUCCUUGUUCCAUUGUGUCCAAACCUACAUGUCUGAACUCCUCUCAUCAAAGACUUCUCAAAGUUAUUAAUAACUGGGGAUCACGUAUUCAGUAAUUACACACAUCAGGCUCCAUGCUUUCUGUGCAGUAUGUAAAUUGAUUCAUUGUCAUACUAAUUAUAAAUGGCUAGUAUUAUUGCUGCUUUACAAAUGAGGCAUAUGACACACAGGGAGCUAAAUAAUUUGCCUAAGGUCACCCCACUUGUAAAUGAUGAAGCCAGGACUCAAGGCCAGGUCUGGCCACCCCUGAAUUUAAUAGCUUUAUCCUCUAUAUCUCUGUUUUCUCCCAGACCAAGGUGUCUGUACCUCUCUGCCAACAGAGAAAAGGGUUCAUUCAUUCAUCAAAUGUUUGUUGAGCAUCUAUUGUGACUCAGGCAAUAUCCUAGAUCAAGGAUUGUCAAACUUUUUCUAUAAAGGACAAGAGAGCAAACAUUUUAGGUCUCCUGGGUCAUACGGUCAGUCACUGUGAUUCAACUCUGCUGUUGUAGUACAAGAUUGUGAAAGCAGCCAUAGAUGAUAUGUCAAUGAAUGAGCAUGGUUGUGUUCCAAUAAAAUGUCACUUGCGAAAGCAGGCUGUGGGCUGGGUUUGGGCCAAGAGUUCUAUCCCUGCUCUAGGCACUGGAGUUACAAUAGCAAAAAAUUAAAAUAAAGUAAAAUAAAAACACAAAAAUGCCUGCCUUUGUGGUGCUUCCAUUCCAGAAUGGGGAAGUAAUUGUAUUUCUGUCCCGUUUAUCAUGUAAAAAUUGUCAUAGGAUCUUGGAGUUGCUGAGCACCUAGAGGUGAUCUGUUCAGCAUUUUCCUCCCAGGGCAGCUCUCCACUCAGAACUCUCUUGGCUGGUGAGGGUUCAUUCUGUGUGCCCGGAUCUAGUGUCACCUCACCUUCCAGGGGACCCAUCCUUGUCACAUAGUCCUUGCUUAUCUGUCUUCCUGACAAUUUAACUCACAUCCUACCCUGUUUGGGCAGAGGGCCCCACAUUUUAGCAUAUCAUAAUCACUUUUGGGGCUUGAAACACUUUGAUGGGCUCCACUCUCGAGAUUCUGAUUCAAUAGGUCUGGAGUGAGGCCCAAGAUUUUCCCUUUCUGACAAAUUCCCAGGUAAUUCC
RNAcentral lists this long non-coding RNA (1767 nucleotides) under Homo sapiens (human). RNAcentral's name for it is "HSALNT0013223". The record is from RNAcentral. Lineage: Eukaryota; Metazoa; Chordata; Mammalia; Primates; Hominidae.